CAGCCGCCGCGGUAAUACAGAGGGUGCGAGCGUUAAUCGGAUUUACUGGGCGUAAAGCGUGCGUAGGCGGCUUUUUAAGUCGGAUGUGAAAUCCCUGAGCUUAACUUAGGAAUUGCAUUCGAUACUGGGAAGCUAGAGUAUGGGAGAGGAUGGUAGAAUUCCAGGUGUAGCGGUGAAAUGCGUAGAGAUCUGGAGGAAUACCGAUGGCGAAGGCAGCCAUCUGGCCUAAUACUGACGCUGAGGUACGAAAGCAUGGGGAGCAAACAGGAUUAGAUACCCCAGUAGUCCCUGUCUCUUAUCC
RNAcentral lists this ribosomal RNA (301 nucleotides) under uncultured bacterium. RNAcentral describes it as "partial 16S ribosomal RNA". It matches the Rfam family "Bacterial small subunit ribosomal RNA", at positions 509 to 809 of the family's 1533-position model. The record is from RNAcentral.